CUUUGAACCCUGUACGUAGACCACUUGCCAAACCCCUCCUCACUCCUGGAUGGCCUACUUGUGAUGUGGAAUCACCAUGUGUUGUGACCAGGAAGCCUAUUCAGGUUAACCUUGGAUGCAGAUCCUGGCCUUGAACCCUGUACGUUGACCGCUUGCCAAACCCACCCACGCUCCUAGAUGUGGGAUUACCCUGUGUUGUGACCUUGUGACUUUCUUAUACGUUCUAGAGGAUGCUGGGGAUGACAUCAAGACCAUGGGGUAUAGACGGGAUCCACAGGAGACAUAGACACUCUAAAGACUUUUCAUUGGGUGUGAACUGGAUCCUCCCUCUAUGCCCCUCCUCCUGACCUCCGUUUUAGAAAUGUGCCCACGUCGACUAGAUGCACUCUGAGGAGCUCUACUGAGUUUCUCUGAAAAGACUUAUGUUAGGUUUUUUAUUUUCAGGGAGAUCUGCUGGCAUCAUACUCCCUGCUUCGUGGGACUGAGGGGGCAGAAGCAGAACCAACUUCCUCAGAGUUUCAUGGCUCUGCUUCUGGCUGACAGGACACCAUUAGCUCCUGAAGGGAACUGAACGCUAGCCGUGUCUAGAUGCUCACUCCCACAGCAAGCCGUCACCCCCCUCACAGAGCCAGAAGUCAGAAGACAGGUGAGUAUGAGAAGAUUGAACUUCAAUCAAGUAAGUGAUGGCUGAGGUAUGACGCGGCUGGCAGGAGCGCAGCGCACCGUUGCUGCCCACACACACAGGCACUGCAGGGUGCAGGGCACGGGGGGGCGCCCUGGGCAGCAAAAAAAAAAAAAAAAUCAUCAGAAUCAGCUUUAUUGGCCAGGUGUACUCACGUACACUAGGAAUUCUUUGUGGUACAAUGCAUCGCCAAGCAGCAA
Long non-coding RNA from Pseudophryne corroboree (corroboree frog), 882 nucleotides. RefSeq lists it as uncharacterized. Lineage: Eukaryota; Metazoa; Chordata; Amphibia; Anura; Myobatrachidae. The transcript has 2 exons. The record is from RefSeq and is a predicted model, not a curated record.